RNAcentral lists this ribosomal RNA (253 nucleotides) under uncultured bacterium. RNAcentral's name for it is "partial 16S ribosomal RNA". It matches the Rfam family "Bacterial small subunit ribosomal RNA", at positions 524 to 776 of the family's 1533-position model. The record is from RNAcentral.
UACAGAGGUCUCAAGCGUUGUUCGGAUUCAUUGGGCGUAAAGGGUGCGUAGGUGGCAGGGUAAGUCGGAUGUGAAAUCCCGGGGCUCAACCUCGGAACUGCAUUCGAUACUGCUUUGCUGGAGUACUGGAGAGGAGAUUGGAAUUUACGGUGUAGCAGUGAAAUGCGUAGAUAUCGUAAGGAAGACCAGUGGCGAAGGCGGAUCUCUGGACAGUUACUGACGCUGAGACGCGAAAGCGUGGGGAGCGAACAGG